UAGGAGUCAUCCACACGAGCCCACGAAUCUCGAUCAGAAGUUCUGCUUCAAGAAAUCAGCACAGUAUGCUAGUACUGCGCUGAUCCUUCUUUGAUGGUUGAUCAGGUGCCUCCUUCUUCUUGAUUUGGACUCUUCCAAAGAUGAAAAGUAGAAGAAGGAGUUUCAGAUCUGAGACACUCUCAGGUGCCUCCUUCUUCUUGAUUUGGACUCUUCCAAAGAUAGAAAGUAGAAGGAGGAGUUUCAGAUCUGAGACACUCUCAGAAAACUCA
This 269-nucleotide long non-coding RNA is filed under the name Elaeis guineensis (African oil palm). RNAcentral describes it as "long non-coding RNA (EGUI_LNC051432)". The record is from RNAcentral. Lineage: Eukaryota; Viridiplantae; Streptophyta; Magnoliopsida; Arecales; Arecaceae.